This 187-nucleotide ribosomal RNA is filed under the name uncultured Actinomycetales bacterium. Its description in RNAcentral is "partial 16S ribosomal RNA". It matches the Rfam family "Bacterial small subunit ribosomal RNA", at positions 146 to 334 of the family's 1533-position model. The record is from RNAcentral. Lineage: Bacteria; Bacillati; Actinomycetota; Actinomycetes; Actinomycetales.
ACUUCAGGAAACUGGGGCUAAUACCGGAUAGGAGCCCCUGCUGCAUGGUGGGGGUUGGAAAGUUUCGGCGGUUGGGGAUGGACUCGCGGCUUAUCAGCUUGUUGGUGGGGUAGUGGCUUACCAAGGCUUUGACGGGUAGCCGGCCUGAGAGGGUGACCGGCCACAUUGGGACUGAGAUACGGCCCAG